Molecule: ribosomal RNA, 275 nt
Filed under: uncultured bacterium
Lineage: Bacteria
Description: partial 16S ribosomal RNA
Rfam family: Bacterial small subunit ribosomal RNA
Source: RNAcentral
CCUACGGGUGGCUGCAGUGAGGAAUAUUGCGCAAUGGAGGAAACUCUGACGCAGCCAUGCCGCGUGAAGGAUUAAGGCCCUAUGGGUUGUAAACUUCUUUUGUAUGGGAAUAAACGCUCUUACGUGUAAGAGCCUGAAGGUACCAUAAGAAUAAGCACCGGCUAACUCCGUGCCAGCAGCCGCGGUAAUACGGAGGGUGCAAGCGUUAUCCGGAUUUAUUGGGUUUAAAGGGUCCGUAGGCGGACUAUUAAGUCAGGGGUGAAAGCCCGCAGCUC